AAGACGUUAGAUUGCAAAUCUGAAAAUGUAAUUAAAAAUUGCUAAAGCUUUAUAUAUGUUAGUGUUAA
Molecule: transfer RNA, 68 nt
Filed under: Phyllolithodes papillosus
Lineage: Eukaryota; Metazoa; Arthropoda; Malacostraca; Decapoda; Lithodidae
Description: tRNA-Gln
Source: RNAcentral